AACUCCGUGGUCAGCAACACGAGGCCAUAAUAUGAAAAUGCAUUUGCAAAGAUUACCACCCAUAAAAGCAAGGUUGACCUAACUAAUCUUGGUGAGAAAAUUAUUAGCACUGAUUUGAAGACCCCCAUGUGAGAAUCCUUCUGCUUGGGUUCUGCUUGGGAGGAGGAGGAGGAGGAGGUGCGGCGCACACAUCUUUAUCUUUACUCUCUGGUAGAUGAUUAUUUCCUUGCAGCUCAAUUUCGUUACCAGCAACAACAACACCAGGAGGCAAUUCUUUUCCAUUUAGUUUGGCAAUUUUCUUCAAAAUAAUAAGUGCU
This 317-nucleotide long non-coding RNA is filed under the name Populus trichocarpa (black cottonwood). Its description in RNAcentral is "long non-coding RNA (PTRI_LNC001907)". The record is from RNAcentral. Lineage: Eukaryota; Viridiplantae; Streptophyta; Magnoliopsida; Malpighiales; Salicaceae.